RNAcentral lists this ribosomal RNA (301 nucleotides) under uncultured bacterium. RNAcentral describes it as "partial 16S ribosomal RNA". It matches the Rfam family "Bacterial small subunit ribosomal RNA", at positions 509 to 809 of the family's 1533-position model. The record is from RNAcentral.
CAGCCGCCGCGGUAACACGAAGGGGGCUAGCGUUGCUCGGAAUCACUGGGCGUAAAGGGUGCGUAGGCGGGUCUUUAAGUCAGGGGUGAAAUCCUGGAGCUCAACUCCAGAACUGCCUUUGAUACUGAAGAUCUUGAGUUCGGGAGAGGUGAGUGGAACUGCGAGUGUAGAGGUGAAAUUCGUAGAUAUUCGCAAGAACACCAGUGGCGAAGGCGGCUCACUGGCCCGAUACUGACGCUGAGGCACGAAAGCGUGGGGAGCAAACAGGAUUAGAUACCCGAGUAGUCCCUGUCUCUUAUAA